RNAcentral lists this ribosomal RNA (253 nucleotides) under uncultured bacterium. RNAcentral's name for it is "partial 16S ribosomal RNA". It matches the Rfam family "Bacterial small subunit ribosomal RNA", at positions 524 to 776 of the family's 1533-position model. The record is from RNAcentral.
UACGUAGGGUGCAAGCGUUGUCCGGAAUUACUGGGCGUAAAGAGCUCGUAGGUGGUUUGUCGCGUUGUCCGUGAAAACUCACAACUCAAUUGUGGGCGUGCGGGCGAUACGGGCAGACUGGAGUACUGCAGGGGAGACUGGAAUUCCUGGUGUAGCGGUGAAAUGCGUAGAGAUCGGAAGGAACACCAGUGGCGAAGGCGGCUACCUGGACAGAUACUGACACUGAGGCGCGAAAGCGUGGGGAGCAAACAGG